RNAcentral lists this ribosomal RNA (423 nucleotides) under uncultured Glomeromycotina. RNAcentral's name for it is "SSU rRNA". It matches the Rfam family "Eukaryotic small subunit ribosomal RNA", at positions 671 to 1092 of the family's 1831-position model. The record is from RNAcentral. Lineage: Eukaryota; Fungi; Glomeromycota.
CGGUACGUACUGGCAUUGUUGGUUUCUCCCUUCUGACGAACCAUGAUGUCAUUUAUUUGGUGUUGUGGGGAAUCAGGACUGUUACUUUGAAAAAAUUAGAGUGUUUAAAGCAGGCUCACGCUUGAAUACAUUAGCAUGGAAUAAUGAAAUAGGACGUUUGAUUCUAUUUUGUUGGUUUCUAGGAUCGACGUAAUGAUUAAUAGGGAUAGUUGGGGGCAUUAGUAUUCAAUUGCCAGAGGUGAAAUUCUUGGAUUUAUUGAAGACUAACUACUGCGAAAGCAUUUGCCAAGGAUGUUUUCAUUAAUCAAGAACGAAAGUUAGGGGAUCGAAGACGAUCAGAUACCGUCGUAGUCUUAACCAUAAACUAUGCCGACUAGGGAUCGGAUGAUGUUAAUUUUUUAAUGACUCAUUCGGCGCCUUACG